RNAcentral lists this ribosomal RNA (311 nucleotides) under uncultured bacterium. RNAcentral's name for it is "bacterial SSU rRNA". It matches the Rfam family "Bacterial small subunit ribosomal RNA", at positions 28 to 334 of the family's 1533-position model. The record is from RNAcentral.
GACGAACGCUGGCGGCGCGCCUAACACAUGCAAGUCGAACGAGCGAGAGAGAGCUUGCUUUCUCGAGCGAGUGGCGAACGGGUGAGUAACGCGUGAGGAACCUGCCUCAAAGAGGGGGACAACAGUUGGAAACGACUGCUAAUACCGCAUAAGCCCACAGCUCGGCAUCGAGCAGAGGGAAAAGGAGUGAUCCGCUUUGAGAUGGCCUCGCGUCCGAUUAGGUAGUUGGUGGGAUAAAAGCUUACCAAGCCGACGAUCUGUAGCUGGUCUGAGAGGACGACCAGCCACACUGGGACUGAGACACGGCCCAG